This 1405-nucleotide long non-coding RNA is filed under the name Monodelphis domestica (gray short-tailed opossum). Its description in RNAcentral is "lncRNA (ENSMODG00000034293.2)". Lineage: Eukaryota; Metazoa; Chordata; Mammalia; Didelphimorphia; Didelphidae. The record is from RNAcentral.
UACUUUCUCAUCCUUUGUAAUAGAUAUUAACACAUACAUUACACUUAUUUUCAUGGCAGUCUUUUUUAUUUAGGCUCAUCAUGGAGAAUGGAAGAAGAGGUAACUGAGUAUUCUAUGAAGUAUCAUUGCUUUUGGGUGAAGAAAAUUCACUUUUUUGGGGGGAAAGAAUUUCCAGGAGGGAUUAGCUUCUAAGAGAAGGUGGGAUGUUGUGAAGAAAGCUGUCUAGGAGACAAACCCAUACAGAUAAAAGGAAGAGGAUACUGUCCGAGAAGAAGCAUGCUUGGAUUCUACUGUGGACUUUUCCCAUUGUGUUUCUUGGUCAUUCGAACCAUAAGAAAUAUUAGAAGAAAAUUAACAUCAAAGCUGAUUGUCUUGAAGGAACUGGAGGAGGGAUACAUUAGGUAAUAAUGACAUUAAAAUGUGUUUAAAAAAAACACCUUCACUGGUCUAACUGUUCUACUGUAGAUUUCAUCCUAUAUUUUUCCUCCCUCAUAGUCAAACUCCUAGCAAAUUCUGCUUAUAGUCAUGGUCUUCCCUUUUUCAGCUCUAACUUGAUUCCUAAAACCUUGCAAUUUAACUUCUGACCCAAUCACUUAACUGAAACUAUUCUUUCCAAAGUCAUCACUGAUCUCCUUGUUGUUGAACUGAAUGGGCUUCCUAUCAAGAUUGAGACCAAGAUGGAAGGUAGACCACCAAGUUGCCAUAGUCAAGCAAAAAUCUGACAUUUUCAUCAAACCUGAUAAAGAUAAAGAUAUCCAAUAGGAAUUUACAGGAAGUCCUUUUCCCACCAAAAUUGCAAAAAGAGUUAUUUAGAAGAUCCCAGACAAUAGAAACAGGGACCCAUCAUCAAAGAAAACAACAGUACAGAGCAACCUUGAGGUGAUAUCAAAGAUUGCCAGUGAUACAUGAAAUCUGCCCAGUUUUGUGUCCAGAACCUGCCAGAGUAGAAAGACUCCUGAGGAAAACUCACCUUAGGUAUGGCUCAUUUGUAGAGCAUCCUUAGAAAGGUAUAACAGGGUACUUACUACAAAAUGUUUGCCAGGUAUAUCACAGCAAUUUAUUUCUUCUACCAUAAAAAAUAAUAACAACACAAAUGAUUCCAAGACUCACAAUUAAAAUGCAGAAAAGCAUAAAACAAUAACCCAUAACAUUCAUUAUACCCUCCUGACAGGUGAAGGUAAGUUUGUGGGACUGCUGAAUAGAUGUUUUACUUUCACCCCAGACCUGCACUGUCUGAGCAACUCACAAGAUCCAAAUCUCACGGCUAGCCUGCACAUGAAUUAGGUUUGAUUUAGUCCUUUCACUGAAGAAUCCUGCUGGAAGUGGUGCUCUUUUCCUCCAAGAAGUGAUCCUGUUUGCUGAACUUUUGGCACCCACCCCCAUAACUCUCAAACUUUCCAACUCA